GGAUUAAUUUAUUGGUCGUGCUAUUGUACGUACUGGUAUUAUUGAUUCCUACCUUCUGACGAACCACGAUGUCAUUAAUUUGGUGUCAUGGGGAAUCAGGACUGUUACUUUGAAAAAAUUAGAGUGUUUAAAGCAGGCCAACGCUUGAAUACAUUAGCAUGGAAUGAUGAAAUAGGACAUCGCAUUCUAUUUUGUUGGUUUCUAGGAUCGAUGUA
Molecule: ribosomal RNA, 215 nt
Filed under: uncultured Glomeromycotina
Lineage: Eukaryota; Fungi; Glomeromycota
Description: partial small subunit ribosomal RNA
Rfam family: Eukaryotic small subunit ribosomal RNA
Source: RNAcentral